UAGAUACCCUAUUAUUUUAGAUUUAAAAGUUUAAAUUUGAGUAGUAUUAGAUAUGAUCUUGAAACUUAAAGAAUUUGGCGGUAUUUUAGCCUAGUUAGAGGAGUCUGUUCCAUUAUCGAUAAUCCACGUUGAACCUUACUUAAUAUAAUUUAAUAUGUAUACCGCCGUUUAUUUGAAAAUCUUUUUAGGGCUAAUUUUCUUUAAUUUUUAAUUGAUUUUAAUUCAGGUCAAGGUGCAGUUAAUGAUUAAGUGGUGAUGGAUUACAUUAUUUAUAAAAUAAACGGAUUAAGAUUUGAAAUUGCUUUAUGAAGGGGGAUUUAAUAGUAAUUAAUAAUUAGAAUUAUUGUUGUGAUUUUAGCUCUAAAAUGUGUACACAUCGCCCGUCACUCUCGUUAUUAAGAUGAGAUAAGUC
This 412-nucleotide ribosomal RNA is filed under the name Macropanesthia lithgowae. RNAcentral's name for it is "partial 12S ribosomal RNA". The record is from RNAcentral. Lineage: Eukaryota; Metazoa; Arthropoda; Insecta; Blattodea; Blaberidae.